UUGAACAUGAUUGCGGAUGGGACAACGCAUGCAGAGGCCUAUUCACUCCUUACUCACACAGGGAGGGUGCACCAAGUGGACUCAAGGGUGCUACUAGCAAGUCCAUGGGCAUGAGUCCCAACCGAAUUUAAACCAAAGCAAAAUGAGGGAGGGGUCAGCUUGCUUGGAUUCAACUCACAUGCAUUCAUACAUCACUUCAAUGCUCUCUCCUCUAACAUAUUUCAUCGUCGGAGCCUCUAAUCAACUCCGUCGCGCCGGAAUCGCCUCUGGCGAUGACGAAGGGCCAAACAUGAAAUUGAUUGCAUCAUUCUAUUCGAUUUCACCCCCUCCAUUCAAAUCUUAUAGUCACUGAACCUAAUACCAAAUAUAAAGGCCAAAUCGAAACAAAAAGUGUAUGAACCCUAAUCUACAAAACCAGAAAUUAAAUGAAGACCACGAUGGAUCAAAGCCUCUAAUGAGAGGGCUUUGAUUCCUGACACAAGGAGCUACAUCUUGGUAAGCAAAUUUAAGCAAAAUGGAGCAGAAUAAUUGGAGCCCUACUUGCCGGAGACGAAGGUGAUGACGACGGAGAUGAAGGUUAAAUCAGGAAAAGGUGAGAUUAUGGUGGCAAGACAAGUCAUAGUAUUGUGGAGGCCUAUGGAAACAUCAUGGCAUGGUGGAUUGACGGGCUGUCAAGUUCAAAGCUUCUUCCUUUUUUUUACUUUUGAUUCAAGCUAUGUAACAUGCGAACAUGUAGCAUGCUAUGAUGACGUAGUAGUUAUUAGGAAAUGGAUUAGUUUAUGUAAAAUGAUUUUAUGCUUGUAAUGAAGAAUGUUUAUGGAUAAGCUCAUGUGAUCAUUCUUGUGUAAUGAAAAAGCUUAAUUGUGAUUCAAACUCAAAUU
Molecule: long non-coding RNA, 881 nt
Organism: Lathyrus oleraceus (garden pea)
Lineage: Eukaryota; Viridiplantae; Streptophyta; Magnoliopsida; Fabales; Fabaceae
Exons: 2
Source: RefSeq, a predicted model, not a curated record